This 29940-nucleotide long non-coding RNA is filed under the name Arabidopsis thaliana (thale cress). RNAcentral's name for it is "long non-coding RNA (ATHA_LNC000565)". Lineage: Eukaryota; Viridiplantae; Streptophyta; Magnoliopsida; Brassicales; Brassicaceae. The record is from RNAcentral.
UUAUUUUAAUUGAAUUCAGAUAAAUUAUUAAUUUUAAUGAAAAAAAAGAAAAUCAACCAUUCCUGAAAAAACACGUGGCCAGAAACGUCUCUCAGAGUUUCUGAAAACAGAGACGAUUCUCACUUCUCUCUCUUCUUUUUCACCACUUUAUAUUAUUUUAAUAAUAAGUAUCUUUUCUAGAUAUUGCAGAUGGAGGGACAAACGCUCCUCCUUCUCUCUAUAAAACAAAGUCGCCGCCGUUGUUGCUAGGGUUUCGGUCCCAGUGACUUUUUCAGCACCAGAACCGAAAUUUCUUGGUUUCUUCAUGUUUAGUUUUUGUUUUCCUUCCUCUCUGACAGAUCUGAACCUUUUUUUUUUCCAACGGUUUCAGAUCUAAAAUUUCAGAUCUAAAUCUACAAUUUCUAAAUUUUUCGUCUUUGGAUUUUGCUGCUUGUUUUUGUCCCUUUUAUGUGCAGCACCAGUUCUGGCCGUUCGAACCUCGGCAGAGGCGAGUUCUUUCACCGCCUUCAGAAGUAGAUUUCUCUCCUUUGAAGAUCUCGAUCUCCUUUCUUCUUCUUAUGACCAUCAUCAUUUGGGUCGCGGGGUGUUUGUUUGUUCACCGCCGUUUGUGGUAAAGAGAGUCCUGGUUUUGUUGGUUUUGUUUUCCUUAGUGUGAAUCUGUUUGUUUUUAUGGUGAUUUAGACUUUGUAAUUUUAUUUUUGAUUUUUUGAGUUUGGAUUCCGAGAAGAUUGGUUCAGAUGCGUGUAUUUGUAUGUUUGAGUUUAUUUCCUCUUUAAUUUUUCUUAAUUAGAUUUUUGUUUCUAGGAGUCUACAUGUACUCGCCGGCUUAUGUCUUUGGAAGGUUUGAUUGCAUUGCCGCCUAUUGUAUUCAGAACUUAUUUCAUCAAUAUAAUUUACCAUUCUAGUGAAGAAAAAAAAAAUAUUGUUGAUGGAGGUGCUCUAACUCUUCUAAUCCUAAUACUAAAAACAAGAUCGUUGAAAAUUAAAAAGAAUAAUCCAAUUAGAACAAAGGUACAUCUUUCUUCUUUGGAUCUAAAGAAAUAAUAUACUCCCAAAAGUAGAAUGUACACUUGGUGAAUGGGACAUGAAGCACAUGUGUGGAAGCUAAUAUAGGAGUUUUUCUUCUCACGUGUCUUUUCCUACAAAGCUUCAUGAUCAGUUGAUCACCUCUCCGCUUACACUUGUCUUAAAAAAAAAAAGCCAACGCUUAGCGUACCACACAGAUUAUAGACUUCUGAAUUUUUUGUUGGCAUGAAGUUGCUCUGCCAAAAAAGGGUCAUCACCCUUCUAGCAAACAAUAUAAUCUCAAUCUCUUUACUGACCAAGCCUCCCAUUUGUGAUGAUGGGGUCAUCCAGGAUGACAAAAAUUGUUUGGCUGAGAUCUUAUCAAUCAAUUGACCAAUAAGCAUAGUUUCUAUUUCACAUUUUUUCAAUCUGGUUAUUCCCAUAUCCGCCUGCUUUUUGUAACUUAUGAAUAAAAGUAUUAAACCAAAAAAUUUCUGAUUUCUAAACCUACAUUUGAUUUUAUCUAAUCUCCUUUCCACAUCACAAAACAAAACUAUGUAACUGUAGUUAUAAGUUAUUGGCUUACAUAUAAACUAUGUAUGUUUUUCUAAGUCAUUGUUUUUUGGAUUCUUGAAUUGAUAAAGAAAUUCAUGACGAUUCUGUAUGGAAGAACUGCGAACUUUAAAACUCUAUUUUGACUGUAAUCCCUAACCACUAACCAGAGAAGACUAGAGAGAAUAUCAAAGAAUCAGUGAAAUUGUUUCAGUUACUAAAUUAAACGAAUACAGAGGUCAAUGAACUCGAAACAUACCCACCUGAGCAUAGGAAGGAAGAAGGAAGAAGGAGAAAAUAGACUGGAAUCAUCCUCUAAUUCUAUGUAAAACAACAUAAGAACAAACACUAUCUACACAUUACAUAACUUGGUUUAAAAUUCAACUGGCCAAAAUCUAAUCCAAUAGAAUAGGAAUACAAAAACAGAGUAAAAACAGAAAGAAACCGCUAUGACAUAACCACUAGAAACUUGUAGGCAGUGUUUUUCAUGUUCUGAUGUAAUUAGGUUCAUCAAACUAGUUACUUGAGGAUUUAUAAAAUCUAAAGAUACUUAAUCCGUGCUCCGACUCACCACAAGUUCAUGUCAUCACUGAAAAAUCCAAAGAACUUUCAGCCUAAUCCUAAUGGUGUGUUCUAAAGAACUCCAAAUCCAAUCGACCAAACACUACACAACCUAUAAGCCAUAGAAAGCUGCAUACACCAAAGUAAGACAAACUCACAUGUUCCUGUCACCACUGAAAAGUAACAGAACUUCAGCUUAAUCGUAAUUGUAACCCAAUUUAAAAAACGUUACAUAACUCAAUGGUAAGCUGCAUAGAGACACUAAUGGUCACCAAAGCAAAGAUGCAAAUGUGCUUAAAGAAACUGAACAAAACAAUAAACUCAACACACCACUCUAACAUUCACAAAGACAUAACCCGAUGAUACUAACCGUAAUUACACAAUGAAUGACACAAAUCAAACGAUGUGGUUGUUGAAUACACAUCAAUCAAAGCAAUCCAAAACACACAUAGCAGAAAAGGAAAACAAUUUACCAACAAAGAUGCAUUAUUGUUAAAUAUCAAAUCCCAUAAAGCCAAACCAAGCAACAAAAUGAAGACACUUGCACUCAUAUUAAGGAAGAAGAAACAUCUUCAAAUAUGCAUAAUACCAAAUCCACAAGUCAUCAUCAUCAUUACAAGAACAGCAAAACCCUAAGAGACAAGAGAUUAUAAUAAGGAAGUAAAACCAAAUUUCUCAAGCCUCACUCUUCUCCUCCUCUGAAGCAGGACCAGCAUCAUCUUUAGAAACCUCACUAGCAUCAGUAUUAGCAUCCUCCACACUUCCAUUUCCAACACUAGCAUUAGAUCUAGCCUUAACAGAUUCAAGCAUCCUCUUACUAAUCUCUUUAGAAUAAAGCUCAAGAAUCUUAAUCCCAUCAUCAUCACUCGACACAGCAUUCGAAGCAACACCAUAAGCCUCUUCUUCGAUAAGUUUCGCGACGGUGGUUGCAUCGUCAGAUUUAAGAGUACCGUAUCUCUUAGAGAGGAUUGAUUCGGUGGAUAAGGUCUCGAUCAGGCGAUUCAGAACGGCGUCGCGAGUUUUCUGAGUCGGUGGCCAGAUUCGGAGAGAGAUUCCUCCUGGUUUCUUCUCUGAUUCGGCUUCUUUCGUCAGAUCUGUGUCUUUUGAGGCUGCUUCUUGAGAUGUUGGAUCUGUCAUUGCAGAAAUAGUGGUGGAGCUUUCGGAUUCCGGUGGCGGCGAUGAGAUCGUGGUGUUGAUUGUCUCGGCGGUUUCUGCCAUUUUCGAAGUUUAGGGAUUUUGGAGAUUCUUUGGAAGGAUCAGUUAUGACGACGGUUCACGAAAUGACAAAGUCUUUAGAGUUUAGAGUUUAGACAUUGAUUGGUUUGGUUCGGUGUUAUUAUAAAUAAUUAAAUAACCGAAAAUUCAGGAAGUAUUUGAAAUUUAAACUUUGUGUGGUGGAGAAAACUAUAGUCAAUAUAAAUAUUUCAGUUAUAAUCUUAAACUUACGUUCAAAUCUUUUUAUGAAUUAAUUACGGUUUUAUUUUAAAUUAAUUACAUAAAAUACAAUUAAUAAUAAAAAUUUCAGCUAAUUUUAUUGAUAUCAGAUGAAGAUAAUAUCAGUAUAUAAAAUACAAUAAAUGUUUUAAAUAUAAAUGUUUUGUGGAAAAUAGUAUAUAUAUAAAAUCAAAAUAAGUAGGGUAACUUGAUUUUUUCUUACAAAUUAUUUUCAACUGAACUAAUCUUUAGGUAAUCCAAAUAUUAUUUUACAAAAUCUAAAUAGGGUAAUAAUCAUAAAUGACGAUAACCACUACAUUCUCAUUCGACUAUCUUUUCAAGCGACUUUGUAUUAUCUUUGGAGAGAGUGGAAUGAGAGGAAGCUCACAACAAGAAAUGUCGGACCCAUAUGCAGCUUCUAGCCAUGAUCGAGAAAACCAUUCACUCUCGCAUCAUGUCAUUGUGUUACUACGAGAAACCAAAACUUAAAGAUUGCUUCAAACUUUGUAUGUGACGAGACCCCUACAUUAGUCACUGCCAAGAUCUGUCCUCAAAUCUUUGAUCUGUUUUGUUAUGUCUUGUUUUUGUAUAUUGUCACAUUCUCAUUGUAAAUUAUUAGUUACCAAUCAACAAAUUUUACAUCAUAAAAAAGCAGUCAAGAGAUUUUUUUAUUUUAGAACUAUUUGGCAAUCAAGUUUGAAAAAUAUAUUGGGUGGAGGAUCAAUUGAACAUGUGGAUGAUGAGUAAAAUUAGUUUUGAGUCUAGUUAAAAGGUGAUCAAGGUCUAUUAUGAUAUUUGGUGAGCUUAGAAGAAAUUAGAAAACAUAAUCGUUUCUCAACCGAAUGUAUAUUCGCAACGUUUCUUCACCUUGAAUUUGCCUUGGGUUGGCUCUGCUCUAAGGAGGUGUCUUUGUUGUUUUUGAUUGUUUGUUGUGUUUCUUCACUUUGAUAGGAUAAAGGUUUGUUCCGCAUGAUGUUCCAGUGAGCUUUCAGUGUUGGAUAGAAGCGGUGAUUUGGUCUAGAAUGUCUAUAUUAUAUUGUGGGAACUGAUUUUUCUAGUUUUAUGCUUGAGAAUGGUGGCCUUUGGUGGCCAAAGGCGGCUUUUCUGGAUGUUCGUAGAUGCUCUUUUGCUGUCAGGUAAGUCUAUUCUAGCGGUUUUGUUUUUGUGUUAGUUCUCAAAAAAACUAUUAGCGUCUUUUUGUUUUAAGGUUUUGAAGAUAGACCUCAUAAAGAAAUUGCUCGUGGUAACAAUAAUGAAGAUUCAAUUUUUGUUGGAGAUGGGACAAUUAUACAAAUGUCUGAGCCUCACGGUUCAACAUUGAUGUUCUUCAUCGAACCUAUGCUAGCUGCUUUCCACUUAGCUUUCAUUAUAGUUUUCGUAAGUUUAUUUAGUUAUAGAUUUUGGUCUUUAUAUCUUCUUUGUUUUUUUCUGUAAUCGUUUUCACAAUUUAGACCAUACUAAACAACAUAAAAUUCUCAAAAUUAUAAAAUAAUCACUAUAAAAAAAAAUAAAAAAGGAUCAAAAUUUUAUUUAAAAAAACCCUAAAAAACUAGUUAGUUUUAAAAAGUCAUGAUCUUGUUUAAAGAAAAUUGUACAUUUAACAAUUCUAAAUAUUUUAUUAAAAAAUAUAAGAUUAGUAAAGUACAAAAUAUCACAAUCUUUUUUUUUUUUUUUUUUUUUGUCAAAGACAAAAUAUUACAAUCUAAAUUAUAAAUUUAACAGAUGUCUUCGAAGGGACAAAAAUGUCAAAUGUCAAAUUUGUUUCUGAAUCGAACCACCACGGCCAAAACCCCAAUCUUUACCGGUCAAAAACAUUUUCAGGCAAAAUCUGAAAACAAAAAAACAUAAAUCACCCGCCCAAACAAAUUUCAGAGAAUUUUCGCACCUCCAAAAUUUUUUAGUUGACUCCCAAAAAACUCAAACUCCAAAAAAAUCACAGAGAGCGCCACAAUCAGAAAAAAUGGCGCUUUUGCUCUUCCCUUUUUCUUCCCCUUCUCACCUUCUCUUCUUCCACUCAUCCGAUCUCUCAAUCCUCUCAAAUCUCAAACUCUCUCUUCCCAUCACUCUCUCGCUCUCUCUUCAAUCUCAUCUCAAUCAUGACAGAGCAAGAGAUCUGCGUGAGGGUUACAAGAGCGGCGGCGAAACGAAAAGCUUCGACGGCGAUGGGUAUUGACGGAGAUCGGGUCAACAAGAAGAGAGUUGUUCUCGGUGAGCUUCUAAACGUCUCCAAUGUCAAUCUCUUGGCUAAUCUCAAUCAGAAGAAAGAAACCCAGAAGCCAAAAAGGAAUCUUAAACCUCCUCCGGCGAAACAGAUUAAGUCAGCUCCGGUGGCUAUUAUUGACCUAGAAUCAAAAUCUGACAUUGAUUCUCGAUCUGAUGAUCCUCAAAUGUGUGGACCUUAUGUUGCUGAUAUCUAUGAGUAUCUUCGUCAACUUGAGGUAAUAAUGAUCUUGUGUUUUGGAUUUAGAAUCAUUUACUUAGUUCUUGAAUUGGAUCUGAAUUGGAUUUGGUGAAUUCAGGUGAAGCCAAAGCAGAGACCUUUACCAGAUUACAUAGAGAAAGUUCAGAAAGAUGUAACACCAAGUAUGAGAGGUGUUUUGGUUGAUUGGUUAGUGGAAGUUGCUGAAGAGUAUAAACUUGGAUCUGAAACACUUUAUCUCACUGUCUCACAUAUUGAUAGAUUCUUGUCUUUAAAGACUGUUAACAAGCAAAAGCUACAGCUUGUUGGAGUUUCUGCUAUGCUUAUUGCUUCGUAAGUGUUUUAUGAUUCUUCCUCUCUUGUGUUUGUUGUCAUUGUUUAUGUAUGGAAGCUAAUGGAAGUAUUGAAAUGUUGUAGGAAGUAUGAAGAGAUAAGUCCUCCUAAAGUGGAUGAUUUUUGUUACAUUACGGAUAAUACGUUUUCGAAACAAGAUGUUGUGAAGAUGGAAGCUGAUAUACUUCUUGCUCUUCAGUUUGAGUUGGGAAGACCAACGAUUAAUACUUUUAUGAGGUUAGAUUUGUGUGUAUUGGUGAUGAUUACUUAUUGGUUUGUCUUAGUUUCAUUGUUCUGAUUUUGUGUGUUGGUGUUUGUGUAGACGGUUUACUAGAGUUGCACAAGACGAUUUCAAAGUUCCACAUUUGCAGCUAGAGCCUCUUUGUUGCUAUUUGUCAGAAUUGAGUAUAUUAGAUUAUAAGACUGUGAAGUUUGUGCCGUCUCUGUUGGCUGCUUCUGCUGUUUUUCUCGCUCGGUUCAUCAUCCGUCCGAAACAACAUCCUUGGGUAAGCAUAUUUGUCUCAGUCUCUUUCAGGUUUUAGUCUGCUGUGGUCAUUGUUUAGAAUGAGACACUAAUGAUUUAUGGUUGUGAAUAUGUAAACAGAACCAAAUGUUAGAAGAGUACACAAAGUACAAAGCGGCUGAUCUACAAGUGUGUGUUGGAAUCAUACAUGACUUGUAUUUGAGCAGAAGAGGAGGUGCUUUACAAGCUGUUAGAGAGAAAUAUAAGCACCAUAAGGUACUUAAACAUUACACAUUGAUAAAAUCAUUUGAAUAAGCAGAGCUUUCUUGAUACUUAAUGUUGCUUCUUCUCGGUACAGUUCCAAUGCGUUGCGACCAUGCCUGUUUCACCAGAGCUGCCGGUUACCUUUUGGGAGGAUGUUACCAUUUGAUCUGAGGUUAUGCUAUCUUAAGCAAAUGUUACGGAGCUGGAUUACCGAAUCUUGUUUCAAAUAGUAUAAUGGACACAGAUCUUCAAGUGAAGCUAGAAGAGUAAGAAAUAUAGAAGUGAAGGCAGGAGCAAAUAAGUCUGCGUUAUGUGAAGAUGUGUGAUGUAUUAUUGAAAUCUCUUCUUUUUUAUUUACAAAAUUUUAGUGUGAAAUUCGGAAUAAUAUAAUUUUAUACAAUUAUGCAAUAUGAUAUAAGUAUUUAUGUGACAUGAUCUUAUUUUGUUUAAGCAUUGAGCCUACUACUGUAUGUUUAUACUUAAUGAAAAUUCCUAGAGGGCUAAAACUCUAGAAGACAUUGUUGUUAAUUUAAAGAAACUAAUGAAAAUCUCAAGAAACAAAAGAAAAGAAAAGAUUGUCUAUGAGAUUGAUAAUCAAGUUUACUAAAGAGAGAUUAAACUUGAGAAACAAGAAACAAGGGAGCUUUAGCGAUGACUUGAAAAGUUUCGGUGUGAAGAUCCAAAGACAAAACCAUGGUUUCAACUUUCACCCUCGUGUGAACCAGUGAAGUGAGCCAUCAACAUACACAGGAUCUUGGGUGUGAGAAACCAGAUAAGGGGAUGCAGGACAACGUACCUCCAAGUGUUGGUUGCAAAAUCAAAAACUUCACAAGUUGUAGCGUUCUCGUUUAGGCCUAACUCAGCGGAAUAAGCAAAUCAAAUCGAAAUUAUAAUUAGGGUUCUACUUUACAAUUUUCUCCAAAGUAAAAUUACAAGUUUUAGAUUAAAAAAAGAUAAUUAUAUGUAAUUACUUUUUGAGAUUUUUAAUCAAGUAAAAAAAGGUAAUUUCUCUAAAUUAACACGUUUUGGAACGAUUUUUUUUUUAAUUUCCUUUUUUUAAUUACUUGGGAUUUCGUGUUCAACAAGUUAUUGUUUUGGGCUUUGGUUUAAUUUUCCUUUUUUUUUUAGUCUGUCUCAUCUCUCAUCUGAAUUCUGAAACCUGGUUGUUUUAGGAUAGAGUCUUCUACUCUAUAUAUAGGACUUAGUGUAAGAUUUAUUGUUGUUCUUUCGAAGAUGUGUUCUUGUUUUUCGAUAAAUAUGGUGUCUAAGAAAGAUAAACAGAUUCAUUCCGACCAUAACCCUCAAGAUGCUUCCCCGGUAGAGUGGGCGGAAAUUCGACAUAAGCUACUUGCGUUUCAAGAGAACAUUCAAUCAGGCUCUGACAUUGACGCUAGGUCUGAUGAUCCACAGAUGUGUGGACUUUAUGUCUCAGAUAUCUACGAGUAUCUCCGUGAAUUAGAGGUACGUAAUAAGAUCUCCUACUUGCUCUGUUUUUGGACUUAGAACAUUGACAAGUUUCAAUAGGUCAAUUUAGUAUACUUUAUCUGAAGAGUUUCUAUGAUUGUUCUCUGUUUGGACUUAGAAUUUGUGGAUAUGUUCUGAAGAUUUGUGUUUUUGGUUUGGUGAAUAUUCAGGUGAAGCCAAAGCUAAGACCUUUACAUGAUUACAUUGAAAAGAUUCAAGAAGAUAUAACACCAAGCAAGAGAGGUGUUUUGGUAGAUUGGUUAGUGGAAGUUGCUGAAGAGUUCGAACUCGUGUCUGAAACACUCUAUCUCACUGUCUCUUACAUUGAUAGAUUCUUGUCAUUAAAGAUGGUUAACGAGCACUGGCUUCAGCUUGUGGGAGUUUCUGCAAUGUUUAUCGCUUCGUAAGUGUUUUUGAUCCUCUUGUAUUACUCUCUUUGCUAUUCAUUGUCAUGUUGAAACUUACAUAUGGAGUGGCUUCUCUUUUUUGGCAUUUGAUAUAAAUAGGAAGUAUGAAGAGAAACGUCGCCCUAAAGUGGAGGAUUUUUGUUACAUUACGGCUAAUACUUAUACGAAACAAGAUGUGUUGAAGAUGGAAGAGGAUAUACUUCUCGCGCUUGAGUUUGAACUAGGAAGGCCUACGACAAAUACUUUUCUAAGGUUAGAAUUGUGAUGAAUAAUACUGACUUUUGGUUGUAUCUUAUGGUUCUUUGUUCUCAUCUUUUGUUGUGUUUGUGCAGACGGUUCAUAAGGGUUGCACAAGAAGAUUUCAAAGUGCCAAACUUGCAGCUAGAGCCUCUUUGUUGCUAUCUGUCAGAACUAAGUAUGUUAGAUUAUAGUUGUGUGAAGUUUGUUCCAUCUUUGUUGGCUGCUUCUGCUGUCUUUCUCGCUCGAUUCAUCAUCCUUCCUAACCAACAUCCUUGGGUAAGAACUUUUGUCUCAAUCUCUCUUUUUCAGGUUUAUAUGUUGAGUUAAUCUUUUGAAUGAGACACUAAUAAUCUAUGGCUUGUAAUGUAAAACAGAGUCAAAUGUUGGAAGAAUGCACAAAGUACAAAGCGGCUGAUCUACAAGUGUGUGUGGAGAUCAUGCUUGACUUGUACCUGAGCAGAAGUGAAGGUGCUUCAAAAGCUGUUAGAGAGAAAUACAAGCAACAUAAGGUAAUUGACAUAUUACAAAUUAUGAAAUCAUUUGAUUUAAUUAGUAGUAUCAUUUAUACUUAAAUGUUGCUUUUUAUGGUACAGUUCCAAUACGUUGCGGCAAUUCCUGUCUACCAAGAGCUUCCGGUUACCUUUUGGGAGGAUGUUGUUACCAUUUGAUCAGAACCAAUCUUUCAUUUCCCAAUUGUUACUGAGCUCGAUUACUAAGGGACACUGAUCAACAGUUGAAGCUAGAGGAGUCAUAUGUUAUAUGUAUCGAAGUGAAGCAGGAGCAAAUAAUUUGUGUUGUGAAGAUGUAUUGUGUUAUUACUUGAUUAACAUUGUGGUGACAAAUUAAUGUGUUACUCUGGAAAUUUAUACGAUUAUGCAAUAUGAUAAGAAGUAUUUUAUGUGACAUGAUUUUAUUUGUUUAAUCAUUGAGCCUCCUAUGACAAAAUUUAUAAGUUCCUAGAAGGCCAAAACUUUAGUAGUCAAUAAUUUACUUCAAAUGGUAUCGAAACCAGAUGAAUGGGAAGACAUGACAAGAUAAGCCUUUAGACUUGCUAUGAUCCUUGACAAAAACAAAACAAAACAGAAAUUGUUCAUUUAAGUCAAUAAAAAGGCAAUUUCUACAAGUGAACCCUUAUUGGAAAGAUUAUUUGGUAGAAUUGGUCUGGUCAUUUCCAACAUACGUUUAUUAGAUAAUAACAGAUAGGCGGAUCAUAUAAGAUAGAGUUGUCAAAUCGGGGUGUCCAUGUCCAUUAGCCCAAUCCAAUAAUGUCUAUUUUGAUAUUGGACGAACAUAGUCCGUAUCCAUUAACACCUUUGUCCAAUCCAAUAAUGUCCAUUUUAAUAUUCGAUUUUUCCUCAAAUCGAUUUAACCUAACAUUAUAAGACUAUUGGGCCGCCCAUGUCCAUCAUAUCUACUCUGCUAAAGUUCAUAUCCGUUAACGACUAUAACCAUUAAAGCCCGUUUUAUAAUGGCUUUAUCCAUGACUCGGUCCAUUAAGUAUUGGACGCAGGCAGCCCACGGGCCGCACACCCAUUUUGACAACUCUAAUAUAAGAUAAGUGUCCGUUGGUGUCAAUUAUUUUUGUUAAAUUAAUAGCUGAAUUUGUCGAAAAAAUUAUAUAGGAAAUGGUGUUAAAUGAAUUCCUAGUUCAAUGAUUUUUUUUUAUUAUUGUUUAGACAAAAUAUUUUCAUAUGGUUUAGUGGAUUUAUUUUUCUGUAUCCAAAAAAAAAUCAAAAAUGUAAAACUAAACCCAAAAAAAGUAUAAAAAAAAAACAAAUGCAAAACCGAUUUUUUUUUAAAUUUUUUAAAAGCAUCUCACUUAAUUCCGAAUCUUAACCAAAACCGAAAAAAAAACAAAUCAACUACUAAUAAUUUCCUUAAUUAAAAGCAUUCAUUGAUUGUUAUUUUCAUCUUUAAUUAAGUGAAUAAAACAAUAAUGAUUGUCUAAAUAUAGGAGUGAAACUUUUUGAAGGGUAAAAAGGAGAAAACAGCCGCCAAAUAAAUGUGGAAAUGAAAUCUGCAAAAAAGCCCCAAAUUUUGGAUACUCAAAAGUCAAAUCCCUAAAAAUUUCGAAAUCGGAAAAUUUACACAGAGAAGCGCCAUGACCUAAAAAUCUCAAAACUUCCCCAACAAAAAUGGCGCUUUUACUCAACCCAUUUCCUUUUACCUACCUUGUACAUUACCCCUUUUCUCAAAUCUCACUUUCCCACUGAAAUAACCCCAUGGCGGAGAAUCAGAACUGUGCGAGGAUGACGAGAGCGGCGGCGAAACGAAAAGCGUCGUCCAUGGCGUUAGACGAAAACCCAGUUAGUAAGAAGAGAGUUGUUCUCGGAGAGCUUCCGAAUAUGUCCAAUGUCGUUGCUGUACCCAAUCAAGAAAGAGAGACCCUUAAGGCUAAAACAAGUGUUAAUACCUCGAAGAGGCAGAUGAAGAAGGCUUUGAUGAUUCCUGAAGCUAGCGUACUAAUCGAAUCGAGAUCUGUUGAUCCUCAGAUGUGUGAGCCUUUUGCUAGUGAUAUUUGUGCUUAUCUCCGUGAAAUGGAGGUAAAAAAAAAAUCAUCUUUAGUAGAUUUCUUGAUUCCAUCAUUUUUGAUCUUAGUGAUCUUAUGGUAUCAGUUUAUGUUAUUUUGGAAUUGGUACAGUGUUGGACUUGAUAUUGAUUAAUGGGUUUGGUUAAAGUUGUGGAUUUGAUAAGUUUCUGAGAUUUUGUCCAAUCACAGCUUGCUCUUAUGGUUAUAUGAUAUGUUUGGAGAAAUUAGAGAUGAUUGAUACUUUGGGACUAAUGGUUAUUGUUUUUGGAUUGGUAAAAUUUUCAGGGGAAGCCGAAACAUAGACCACUACCUGAUUAUAUUGAAAAGGUUCAGAGUGAUUUAACUCCACACAUGAGAGCGGUUUUGGUGGAUUGGUUAGUGGAGGUUGCUGAGGAGUACAAGCUUGUUUCGGAUACGCUUUAUCUCACUAUCUCCUAUGUUGAUAGAUUCUUGUCUGUGAAGCCUAUUAACAGGCAGAAGCUUCAGCUUGUGGGAGUUUCUGCAAUGCUUAUUGCGUCGUAAGCAUCUUAAUCCUCUUUGUUUAUUGUUGUGUUGGUGUGAAGAGUCUUAGAUGGUUGGCUUAUGGAAUCUUUAUUUUUGCUUUUAAAAAAGUAGGAAAUAUGAAGAGAUAGGUCCUCCUAAAGUUGAAGAUUUUUGUUACAUUACGGAUAAUACAUUUACUAAACAAGAAGUGGUGUCGAUGGAGGCGGAUAUACUUCUUGCUCUGCAGUUUGAAUUAGGAAGCCCAACCAUCAAAACAUUCCUAAGGUUCGACUCUGAAACAGUCUGGUGUUUAAACUUAUGAUUUCAUGGUUUUACUUGCCCUUGUUUUGAUUGUUAUUCUCUUUUUUAUGUCGUGUUUGUGCAGACGGUUUACACGGGUUGCACAAGAAGAUUUCAAAGUAAGCUCAAAAUCGAUGUACCUGUAAACUGUGGCAUUUGCAUCUCAUAAUUUCUAUUGUUAAAUCUUCUUUUUUUUCAUGCCUUUGCAGGACUCACAAUUGCAGAUAGAGUUCCUUUGUUGCUAUCUAUCAGAAUUGAGUAUGUUAGAUUACACCUGUGUGAAGUAUUUGCCAUCUCUUUUGUCUGCUUCAGCUGUAUUUCUUGCCCGGUUCAUCAUCCGUCCAAAACAACAUCCUUGGGUAAGCAAAUUAAGAACCAUGACAGGUUCUUAUACAGAAAAAGUUCUUUAUAUUCUAAAUCCUCUUCUGGUGAUGCAAACAGAAUCAAAUGCUAGAAGAAUACACAAAGUACAAAGCAGCUGAUCUACAAGUGUGCGUGGGUAUCAUACAUGACUUGUAUCUAAGCAGAAGAGGAAACACUCUAGAAGCUGUUAGAAAUAAGUACAAGCAACACAAGGUAAAUUCAACAAUUCAAUGAUGUAACUUUAAACUUGUGAUAUAUUGCAACAAGAACAUUCUAAUAUCUGAUUCUCUUGGUACAGUACAAGUGCGUUGCGACCAUGCCUGUUUCACCGGAGCUACCUCUUGCUUUCUUUGAAGAUAUUACCAUUAGAGGAAUGGCGUAAAAGAAGCUUGAAGCUUAUGUAUUGGAAGUGUUAGUUACCUGAAUUUUGGGUUGUAUAUAUCUGUUAGAAUGGCAGAUUAGUAUUGAGUAUUAUCUCUUUUAGCGUAUGUUCAAUGAUUUUUGCUAACACUAGUUAAGAAACUUUUUUUUUUUUGCUUGACCAUUUUUUCAAUGGUUUAUUAGAUUUUUAUUGAUUUGUUUUCUGCUUUUUUCUAUGAUGUAAAAGCCUCUUUAAAUCAUAUUGGAAUGUGCACAUCCUCUUAACAAAAACAAAAAAGUACAACAAAGACUUUGCCACUACAUAUUUGUGAUGUUAACAUUCACAAAAAGCUAAGCUAACUCUUAUCACCACUUUGGCGUUUCAAUAUGUAUAAGACUAUAGUGGAUGAAGUUUGUUUACUGUAUCUUCUUGACAUGUAACAAAUGGUCUUGAGGGCAGUUAUUUUUGUGCAGCUACUAGCUAUUGGAGACGGACACUCUUUUGGGAAGUUCUAUGGAAGAGGAUGACCAAGGAGAAGGAAAAAAGUUGCUGUGUGAAAUGAGGUACACUAUAAAGGCGAUAUAAGCAGUCGUCCAGACGCAGACCGUAACUCCAAACAGAAACCCGUCGACUUCUGAUACAAAGAAAUCCAACAGAAGAUACCCAUUGAUGAUCAUUACAAGUGCAGCCACAGUCCAAGCUAUUCUCUGCAAUGUAAUCAAUAAAUCCAAUCAACUUACAAAUACUCACUCUUCAUGCUUCUCUAUUCCAUUGAAGGACUUUCAAUUCUACAUGUUUACUAAGAUAAUUGCACAAACAGUGAAACUAAAAAAGUCGAGACACCUAAAACGAUAAGACUCAACACUAAUUCACCUAUUGUGGUAUCCUAUGGAGACUUGUAGUAAAAGAAGUGGAAAUUUACCUGGAGAAUAGGCCCAAUCUUGAAGUCUCCCAUAAUUUCUUCUUUGGAUACCAAGGUUAGAAGAGGGAGAAGAGCAAAAGGAAUUUGUACAGACUGAAGGACAUUGAGCCAUUCAUUCAAAACAUCCAAGGAAGCUUCAGAAGUAUUGAACACGAUUGCCACAAUCAUUGUAGGCACAAUAGCACAGCUUCUUGUUAUUACUGCCCUCAUCCAUUUCUUAAGCCGGAGAUUCAGAAAACCGCCCAUUAUAAACUGUCCAGCAUAUGUACCAGUUAUCGUACUGCUUUGUCCGGCUGCUAACAACCCGAUACCCCAGAUAUAAAGAAUCGGAAGAAGCCCGCCUCCAAACUUUUCUUGAAGAUACUGACCAGCAUUAACUAGGCCAAUGUUAUUAGCUUUCUCAGUUCCAUAAAACCCCUUUGCAAAGACAGUAGUCACAAACAAGUUAAUCAUGAAGGAGAUGAAAAGUGCGACGGAUGACUCGAUCAAAUAGUAAUUAAGCGCUUCUUGAACCCGGGAUUUCCUCUUCGGAUCGAUUUUCCUCGAUUGUACAAGAGCCGAAUGCAAAAACACAUUGUGAGGCAUUAUAACACAGCCAACAACACCUACAGCUUGCCUAAUUGUCUUUGAGCUAAGUCUCGGUAGUAAAAUACCUAUCCAUAAACACAAAGAUUUGAUUUUUAAGCACUCAAAUCAAAGCAAAUAAAGUGAAAUUCAAGAGUAAAAAUCUGAAAUCUUUACCUAUCAUAAGUUCUUUCCCACUCGGUUUUGUUUCACCAAACAUCCAAGCAAAGGACAAACCCAUAGUUGCGAUCAAAACUGCAAAAACAGCUUCUAACUUCCUCACACCGUAAUUCUCUAGAAACAAAAAUAAAAAACUGUUUGCAACAAAUUCAUUAGCCAAGUUUUCAAAAUACAAAAAAGCAAGUUUCUUAAUUUCAGAUUCGAUCACAAAUCGUUAAACCAAUUCUCUACUGAUUUGUGAGUUUGGAUCAUCUUAGCAAAGUUUUACAAGAAAACAGCCAAAGUAAAAGCAAAUUCUCAACUUCAGAUUGAAUCAUGAAUCUCUAAACCAAGUUUCUACUGAUUUGUGAGUUCGAAUGAUCCAUACUCAAACUCAAUACCGCUAAGAUGAUCCGCAAAGUUUUAAAAUUUCAGAAUGAAUCAUAAGAUUCUCCAAACCAAGUCUCUACUAAUUCUACGAAUCCAACAUCUCUAAAGAACGAAUAGAGUAUCGAAAGGACUCACCAAUCGGAAGCAGUAAUAACAACACCAGCCCAAAGAGGCAAGAAGCCACGGCUAAGAAUCUGAAUAGCAAUAGCACUACCAAUAACCUCUUGAAUAUCAGCACCAAUCAAAGCAAGUUCCGCCAUAGACCAAAGCACAUACCUAGCCCAAGUAGGAUACUCAUCACGACAAAGCUCAGCUAAAUGACGACCAGUAGCUACACCGACUCUAGCUGACAACAUCUGAAUCAACAACCCCAUAGCUGUUGCCCACAUUAGUAGCCACAACAGAGAAUAGCCAGCGAUUGCACCAGCUUGUAGAUCUCCUUCUAGAUUCCCUGGAUCCAAAAACGCUAUACUCAUUAAGAAACCUGGACCGGUGAAUAACCAGAGCUUCCGCCAUGAGAAUGGCGGUGGUGUGUCUCCGGUUGUUGGAUCGUCGGGUGAUUCGAAAUCGACGAUUAGGAUCUUUUCGUUUGUUUCGAAAGCCGCUUCGGAUUCGGAAUCGGUGGAUGGGAGAGAUUGUGAAGGAGGAGGAGGAGGAAGAAGACGGUCUUCCUCUUCUUCGAGAUUCUCUUUGACGUCGUUUUCCAUGGAGGAAGAGGGAAUAUUCGGUGAGGGUUAAAUCGGAAUAUUCUGUCGGUGGUGGUGGUGGUGUCGUCGACGUACCUGAAUUUUGAAUUGGAGGGAUAAAAGAAGAAGAAGACGCAGGCACUUAAUCAGAUGCUUUUUAAAAAAGAGAUUAAUGCGUUUCUUUUUCGUAACUUUUUGGUACCAGAUUCAACUUUAUUAUAUUAAUGCCUAAAAAAGAAGAAAAACUUUAUGUUAUAAAUUUGCUUUGAAAUUAUGUAUUUAGUGUAGUGUUGCCAUAGUUGUAUUGUCACAAAUUUGAAUAAAGCUUUGCUUUUUAAUGACGUUAAUUGAAUACAAGGUAGUGAAUAAAGUGUGUGUUUUAUACAUUUUUAGAUCCAUUGCUUGAUCUAUCUCUUCCUCUCUUUUAUAGAUCACAAUGUGUGAAACUAAAUAUCCCACACCAAAAGUUUAUUGAGUUUCCAAUAUAAGAUUCAUGAUUAGUUUUUUAGAGCUUCAUGAAUAGCAUAGUUGAUAUGAUUGUAUUACUCACAUUCCAAAAAUUUAUGAGCAGAAACUCAACCAUUGAUAAAAUGUUUUUUUUUUUUUGAUGCGAUGCAAAUUAUGAAAAUUUAACCUCCUCAUCCGAAAGUCUUUUAACUAGAACUCAGUUUUAAUCUCAUCAGAAAUUACUGGUUUACAUUCAAUAAGCUUACUAAAUUUUUUUGCUGAAUUUUCCAAAGUGAACAAAUCAUGAGGAUUUUUAGUUAAGUGAAUAUUUAGUGACUAUUUUUCUUUUUUUCUUUUUUUUUUGUAUCAUGAGGAUAUUUAGUGACUAGUAUUUUUGUCAAUCCCUUCAUGUGUGUUUUCAUCACUCAUUAUUUAAAUCAUAAAAACAUGUUAUUCGUUUUUUUUGUGUGUUUCAACUUUCAAGCAUGAACAUAAUUAGUAUUUCUACUGUACCUUCUUUUACCAUAUUUCAAUGAGUAUCUACAUAAAAUAGCCAUGGAUUCAAAAAAAAUUAAGAGAAUAGCCAUGAGCUACAGGGGUAAGUCGGAAACACAUGUAAUUUUACAUGUAUAACCUUAGACAUCAAAGCGACAAGACACUGUUUGGGGAGCGUAUGAUUCUGGGUUUGAAAUUUGAAUUCUAUUGCAUUAUUCGGCCCAAGUUUGUCUCACGACCAAAGUAAUAACCCUAAAAUUAAAAAAAAAAAAAAAAAAAAAAAUUUUUCUCACCGAAAAAACCUCUCUCGGCGGCGAUUAAUUUCAUCGUCGUUGCUCUCAUCUUUUCGAUCCAAGUAGUAGUUGUUUCUAGAAAUUGAUUGUGUUUCCGAUUAUCCUUUUCAAAUCGUCUUCUCGUUGCAGUCGCCGGUGACAAUCGAAGGAUUAAUUUUUGGUCUUCCCUCGCCGACGAUUUGGGUAAGUAGAACCACUGAUUUCCGAUUAUUUACAGUUGCUCUUCUUAUUUCUCUUCCCCUAUACCUUUAAUUGCAUGUCAAUCAUCGCUUGUGUCUAGAUCUAAAGUUCGGUUCGUUGUUAACUAACCCUAAUUUUGUUUCGUGUACUGUUGAUGAAUGAAAGUUAGGCGACCAUCGAGAGUUUGCGGCUAAAGUCUCUGUUUUUUUUUUGGGAAUCCUUCUGUGCUUUUUUGGAAAACACAUGAGGUUUGUAAAUAUUGAUGUGCUUUGUUUGAAUAACCCACGAGGUUUGUAGAUAUUGCGUCCUUUAUCUGUGUUUCUUACAUGCAACUAACCCAUUUUUUGUCUCUUACUAUUCACGAAAGAAGAUUAGGCGAUAUCGGAGGCUUUUGUGGCUGACGCUGUGGGUUUUGUUUGAAAAACACUUGAGGUUUGUAAAUAUUGUCUUUUGAUCUGUUCUCUUUUAUACUAUACUAACCCAAAUUUUGAACGUCUUACGUUCCAUGACUGCAGAUUCGGCGAUAUCGAGGAUUUUGAACGUCUUACGUUCCAUUCAUUUUCGUUUAUUUAUCGCCGAUCUUCUUCUAUUUCUUCCCCUUUAUACUUCAAUUGCAUAGAAAAUAACGAUUGUGGCCAGAUCUAAAGUUCGGUUCUUUUUUCCCUCUAUCUAUAUCUUCUUCUAUUUCUUCCCAUGUAUACUUCCAUAAGUAUCUUGCAUAGGGUUCUUACCUGUUGUGUCCAGAUCUAAGUUUUGAUUCUUUUUUAUUUAUUCUCUACUAACCCUCAAUUUUUUCUUAAUCUCUCUACAUGAAGUUAGAUAAGGCGAGAUCUGGGAAUUUCCUCAAACUCUUUGGAUUCUGCUUCGUCCGUCUAGGGUUUUUGUUUAAAAACAAGAGGUUUGUUCAUAUUUUGCAUGUUAUUUAUAGUUGGUUCAUGUAUUUUAUAUAGAUAACAUGUUAUGUCUACUCUAUAAUGUGUUCUUGUAUAAUGAUGCUUGUUAUUUUGACUAAUUGGUUUCUCUCUAUAAUAUGUUUUCAUUUUAAAUUUCAUGCUUUUAUACCUUUUGGUCUGCCAUUAAGUACUCUGUUAUUUCAUUUGUUUGCAUUUGUUUUAUAGUUUUUUGUAUGUGUUUUAUAUAGCUGCUAAUCUUUUUUUCCUUCUUUUGCCGUUUGCGAGAGAAGUUUUAAUUCGUUCUCCUCCUAUCCAAUCUGGUAUUCGCCAAUGAAUCUGGUAAGUUCAGUCCUGGGUUUCCGAUUAUUUAUCUGUGUCUUCUUCUAUUUCUUCCCAUGUAUACUUACAUAAGUAUCCUACAUAGAGUUCUUACCGAUUGUGUCCAGAUCUAAGUUUUGGUUCUUUUUUAUUUAGUCUCUACUAACCCUCAAUUUUUUCUUAAUCUCUCUACAUGAAGUUAGAUAAGGCGAGAUCUGGAAAUUUCCUCAAAUUUUGUGGAUUCUUUUUCGUCCGUUUAGGGGUUAAAAAAAGAAGAAGAGGUUUGUUCAUAUUAUGCAUGUUAUUUAUAGCUGGUUCAUGUAUUUUAUAUAGAUAACAUGCUAUGUUUAUUCUAUAAGGUGUUUUUCUAUAAUGAUGCUUGUUAUUUAUAGUCAUUGAUUUAUCUGUAUACUAUGUUUUCAUUUUAGAUUUUAUACUUUUAUACCUUUAAAAAGGGAUCGAGAUGUGUUUGAGUUGAUUUUCGGAUCCAGUGAUAUAACUACACAAAUACAUAUUUAUAUACAUGCAUAUAUAUAUAUAUAUAUAAUUAAAACUGGAUUUUUCUCAAAAUUUUUUAUAAAAUUGGUUGCUUGGGUUCCCUAUUUAUUAUCUUAGGGUUUAGUAUUAUGUAAUUGAAAACAAUUUUAAAUUGGUUGCUUGUGUUCCCUAUUCUCAUAUUGACAGUAAUCCCUAUCUAGUUUCCUCUUAAAUUCAUGUUUUUCUUUCAAAUUUCAGUGUUUUCUAUCCGUUGUAUGUUUUGGAUUUUUCUCAAAAAAAAUCUAUAAAAUUGGUUGCUUGCGUUCCCUAUAUAUUAUCUUAGGGUUUAGUAUUAUGUAAUUGAAAACAAUUUUAAAUUGGUUGCUUGGUUUCUCUAUUUUCAUAUUGACAAUAAUCCCUAUCGAGUUUCUUCUUAAAUUCAUGUUUUUUUUUUCAAAUUUCCAGAGGUGAACUACUUUCUAUAGAGUGAAAAACUAAUAUAAUGGAGACAUGCUUUUUCCAGUAUAUCAUUUUCUUAACGUUGUUGUUUCACUUGGUGUUUUUCUAGACCAAUGUUGUCUAUAUUCUCAGUGGAGAAGUUAAUGGUGACUCGCUGGGGAGUGCAUCAUGUUGUCCUCCUUUGUUAUACUUAUAAGAAACAUGUUGUUUCUACACUUUCUUUCACCCUUUACCCAAAUGCAACAUUGGAACCAGUAUAUAAUACUGUCGCCGCAUUUAAUGUAGUAAACACGUAUCUAAUAUUUUCCAACAGACUGUUCAUUUUGUCAAAUCGCAAAUAAAAUGUGUCAAUCCAAUUAUGUAGCAAGUUGCAUAAUGAUGAUUACUGAUAUAACCAAACAUUUCAUGUAAUGUAUGAUACCUAUAAAUUGAUACUUUGUCGAGCUUAUAACCGAAUGAAUAACAUCAAGCCCAAUACAAAAUUUCUAACUCAAGCCUAUUGUUUUCAAAUUCGUCAGUAUAACUUCGUUUACAUACAGAAAUUACAUGAGUUGUUCUUAUAUAACGUUCUAUUUUACAUGGUACUCUGUAAAACAAAUCUAUCAUUAAUGGCAUACCUAGUAUUGCUGUAACUUGUCUUUCUCCUUUGUUGUAUACUUGUUCCUUUUAAUUUUUUCAAAGAGGAAGUGGUGUGAUCGUUAAAUGCUACUCAUCUCUCUUAUUAUAUUGGGAAUGUCUCGAUAACAAGUAGGGCUACAAUAUACUAAAAUAUUUUUGGGCAACAGUGCUGACAAGCUUUUAAGCCACAUAAUUUUGAAUAAUUAUGAUUUUCCUCUAAGCUCUCGCAGGGCUGCUAAUCGACGGAAGCAGUCGUCAUCAAACUUAUUACUGAAUUGUAUUAAAAUUGCAUGCAUAACAACAAUAAAUCAUGUUUUUUAACACUAGCACAUACGUCAUGCGCGACGUGUCGUCAAUCUGGUGGAUGGUUAGUGAUUCUCCUUUGUUAUAUUUAUACGAAACAUGUUGUUUCUGGCCUUUGUUCCACCCCUUCCCCCAAUGCAACAUUGGAACCCGUAUAUAACACUAUCACCGCAUUUAAGGCAAUGGAUACAUAUCAAAUAUUUUCCUACGGACUCUUUACAUUGUCAAAUCGCAAAUAAAAUGUGCCGACUAGAUUAUAUAGCAAGUUGCAUACUAAUGAUUACUGCUAUUACCAAACAUUUCAUGUAAUGUAUGAUCUCUACAAGUUGAUACUUUGCCGAGGCUAUAACCCAAUACACAAUUUCCAACUCAGGCCUAUUCUUUUCAUACCGCGUUUGCAUAUAGGAAUUACAUGAGUUGUUUUUAAAUAACGUUCUAUUUUACAGUUACCAAUGACCUUUUUAUCUGUUAGUCUUCAUUAAAUAACUAGUCGCAUACAAAGUAAACAUCUCUAUAUAUAUGGUCCGUUUUUGGCAUAUCUAGUGAUAUAAGUUAGGGUUUAAAUAUCAAAUGCAUCUGUAAUUGAAAGUAUGUGGUUUAUAGAAUUAAAAAAAAAAGAAGGAACAAAUACAUAUAUAUAUAUAUAUAUAUAUAUAUAUAUAUAUAUAUAUCGUGUGUUUUAUAAAUAAAGCGGAUUACUCAUUACCUACGCAUGUUUACGUUCUCAUUAGUAAUUGAAAUCUAUAAGUUAUGUGGCUCAUCCAGAACAACGCCAUAUAUAGAUGGCGUGUGUUUUAUAAAUAAAGCGGGUUACUCAUUAUCGUGUGUUUUAAAUGCUACUCAUCUCUCCUGUUAUAUGUGGAAUCUUUUGCUACGAAGUAGGGCUACAAUAUAUUAAGACAUUUUCCGCAACAGUGCUUACAAGCUUUUAAGCCACAUAAUAUUGAAUAAUUAUGAUUUCCCUCCAAACUCUCGAAGGGCUGCUAAUCGAUGGAAUCUGUCGCUUCUGUAAAUGUCGCAUCAAACAUAUAACUGAAUUGUAUUUGAAUUACAUGCAUAACCACAAUAAUUCAUGUGUUUUAACAUUAUCGCAGACGUCAUGCGCGACGUGUCGUUUAUCUGGUGGAUGCUUAGUGGUUAUCCUAUGUUAUAUUUAUACGAAACACGUUGUUUUUGGAAUUUGUUUCACCCCUUCCCCCAAUGCAACAUUGGAACUCGUAUAUAACACUGUCGCCGCAUUUAAUGCAAUAGAUACGUAUCAAAUAUUUUCCUACGGAUAGAUUUACAUUGUCAAAUCGCAAAUAAGAUUUGGCGACCAUAUUAUGUAGCAAGUUGCAUACUAAUGAUUACUGAUAUAACGAAACAUUGCAUGUAAUGUAUGAUCUCUAUAAGUUGAUACUUUGCCGAGUUUAUUGCCCAAUACACAAUUUCCAACUCACGCCCAUUGUUUUCAUACAGCGUAUGCAUAUAGGAAUUACAUGUGUUGUUUUUAAAUAACAUUCUAUGUUACAGUUACCAUUGACCUUUUUAUCUGUUAGUCUCCAUUGAAUAACUAGUCGCAUACAAAGCAAACAUCUGUAUAUAUAUAUGGUCCGUUUUUGACAUAUUUAGUGAUAUAAGUUAGUGUUUAAAUAUCAAAUGCAUCUGUAAAAUCUAAAAGGUAUGUGGUUUAUAGAAUUAAGAAAAAAAUGAACAAAUACAUCUAUAUAUAUCGUGUGUUUAAUAAAUAAAGCAGGUUACUCAUUAUCUACGCAUGUUUAUGUUCUCAUUGGUAAUUGAAAUCUAUAAGUUAUGUGGCUCAUCAGGAACAAAAACAUAUAUAAAUGGCGUGUGUUUUAUAAAUAAAACGGGUUACUCAUUACCUACGCAUGUUUAUGUUCCCUACAUAUAGACACCUAGUGUCGGAACUCACGAGUUCCCGUCUAUUUUUCCAGGUUAUUUUGGUUAUUUUACACCCCAAGAAAAAACUAUUUACUAAAGUUUUCUGACGUAUGACUAUUUUGCUAAUUUGUAUGUCGAAUUUGGCUAGUUAGCUAAUUGACACAAUUUUAAUACUCUUUGUUUCCAACCAAAUAAUACAAGAUUUUAUCAAAAACAAAAUAUCAAAUUAAAAAUCUAAUAACAUGUGACUUUAUUUGUUUAGAUUUCUAAAUUAAUUUUAUUCCAAACCAAUUUAAACUACACAUGCUAAAUUAUUAAUUUUCAUAAAAUUAGAAAUAAUAAAAUACAAUAACUUGUAAUUCCCUCUAGUCCAUGAAGUUUGAUGUUUUAAAUUUUACUUUUGUUUCACAAAAGUUGAUGUUUUAAAUUAAUAUUAUUUUCAUUAGUGAUCAAUAGAGAAAGGAAAAAAAGUAGAACUGAUAUUAUUAAAUUAAUUAAAAAAAUAAUAAAUGAAUUAUAAACACGAGAGGGAGGCAAGAAAAAACUACUACAACAAGAGCACCAUCAUCGGAAAAUACUUCAUGGAGAAAACCGACAGUUUCUUUUGUCAAGUGCAAUUUCGAUGCGGACUUACACAGGAAUAGUACUUAAAGUACGGGUGGAUGGAUUAUACGAGACCAUGAAGGGAUAGCAAACACAUGAGGAUCUUCAAUUUUAGAUCAUGUCAACACUCUCCUAAAGGCUGAGACGAAAGCGUUACUUGUGGCGAUGCAACAAAUUUGGAUACAAAAAUACAAGAAAGUACAAUUCCAAAGAGAUUGCGAAGUCCUCAUUAAAACCAUCAAUGGCAAGUCUAAUAGAAGUAAAAUUGCUAAUUUACUUCUAGAUUUAGAGUAUUGGUCUUCAGAUUUUCAUCUAUUGUAUUUACUUUCACAAAACGUCUUUGUAAUAGUAUAGCUCACCAUUUAGUUUUCCUAAUUUUACGAUUUUUGUGUUUUAAGCGGACUAUUUUGCUUCCCCAAUUUUUACGAUUUCUGUGUUCAAAGCAGACUUUAGGAACGAGCCAAUUUGGUUCAAAAACCUUCUCUGUAAUGAUCUACAUUCAUAGAUUAAAACAUAGUUUGCAGUAAGAAAAAACAAUAAAAAUAAUAUAAAAGUUAUUUUUUUUAAUUUGUGAAAAAUCCAAAAUAUCAUUGUUUUAGGAUCAGAGGGAAUAGUAAAUUUAUAAUCAGUGUAGUGAAAAAUGUGUAAAUAAAUAAUGUAAAACCAAUUGAAACUGCAAAUGUUAAAUUAUGAAUUAAAUUAAUUACUAUAAAAAGAAAUAAUAUAAUGCUAAGUAUUUAUUUAUAAAAUUAUAAUCCUUUUAAAUGUGUAAAAAAUAAUAAAGAGUAAUGGAUAAUUAAACCCAGCCCAUUAAGUUUCAUAAGCCCAUUUUACUCUACUGUCUUCUUUCUCUUUUUUUUGACAAUCUUUACUUUCUUCUUCUAAGCUCUAUAAGAGAGACCAUCCUCCUCUAGCUUGAAGCAAACGAAAAGCUUUUGAAGAACAGAGGAACAAGAAGAAGAAAGAUGUUCAGGAACCAGUACGACACAGAUGUGACAACAUGGAGUCCCACAGGUCGACUAUUCCAAGUCGAAUACGCCAUGGAAGCUGUGAAACAAGGCUCCGCAGCAAUAGGACUCAGAUCUCGCUCUCAUGUCGUCCUCGCUUGUGUCAACAAAGCACAAUCAGAGCUCUCUUCUCAUCAAAGGAAGAUCUUUAAAGUCGAUGAUCAUAUUGGUGUUGCUAUUGCUGGUCUCACUGCUGAUGGUCGUGUUCUCUCUCGAUAUAUGAGAUCUGAGUCUAUUAAUCACUCUUUUACUUAUGAGUCUCCUCUUCCUGUUGGUCGUCUUGUUGUUCAUCUUGCUGAUAAAGCUCAGGUAAAUUGAGAUUUUUGGGUUAACUUUUGAAUUUUGACCUAGAAUUUGCUAAAGGGUUUAGUUUUAUGAUGUGUGAGUAUCUGAAAGUUUGAAGCUUUAUGUAAUUGGAGUAAAGUUUAGGUUUUUAUUAGCAAUGUGGCCAAUUUUAUUUGUAGAAUGUGUGUGUUGUUAUGCAAGUAGUGAUAUUGGUUUGUGAUCAAGUCUUAGUGAUUGGGAAUUAGAGAUUCUUGUGUUGUUAAUCAUAUCCAGUUCUGUUGCUAGUUGCUUAAUCCGAUUAGAAAGAGUUAACCUGUAUACCCACUUUGACGAUAGAAGUGUAUAAGAAUGUGAUGAUUUUGGUCGUUUGGUUGUUUCUGUGUUGUCAUCGUCUGUUCUCUUUGCUUGAUAGAGUUGUUUUUGCUUGCAAUUCUAGAAUAAAUAUACGUCUUUGUUGAUCUCUUUUUGGUUUUGUGGUUUUGACUUGUAUUACUUUGCAUUUGUUUACUUACUUGUAGUUGUAGUAUGUCCUGGCCACUUUAUUUACUUGCCUAAUGAAGUAUAUUUUCAGUAAGAUGUUGGUUUACAGUUGUGAUAGAAAUUUGUGCUACAUGUUCACUACUUUUGGUGUUAAACGUAGUGUUCUCAAGUUAGAUGAUGUGUUCACAAUUUUUAAAAGGUUUGAUUGCUACGUCCCACUUACUUUCAUGUCUGUCAAAAAUUAAGUUAGCUGCUGUAUCUACAUUUUCAAUUGAUUUCUGAGAACGUAUUGAUAUCAGUCUUGUAGUUUGAACAACACUCUGAUUUCAUUCAAAUGUUAAGUCAUUUGUUUGUCUUGUAUUAAACAUCUUCAUAAAUUAUCUUUGAGCAGGUAUGUACCCAACGAUCAUGGAAACGGCCUUAUGGUGUGGGUUUGCUGGUAGGUGGAUUGGACGAGUCAGGAGCUCACCUCUACUACAACUGCCCUAGCGGAAACUACUUUGAAUAUCAAGCAUUCGCUAUCGGGUCUCGUUCACAAGCUGCGAAAACCUAUCUGGAGCGCAAAUUCGAGAGCUUCCAAGAAUCAUCAAAAGAAGAUCUGAUAAAAGAUGCUAUUAUGGCCAUAAGGGAAACUUUGCAAGGGGAAACACUGAAGAGCUCGCUCUGCACUGUUUCUGUUCUAGGAGUCGAUGAACCAUUCCAUUUCUUGGACCAGGAAAGCAUUCAAAAGGUGAUUGAUACGUUUGAGAAGGUUCCUGAGGAAGAGGAAGAUGCUGGUGAGGGUGAGGCCGAACCCGAAGCUGCUCCUGGUGCUGCUGGAACUGGUGAACAAGGUGGUUCAGGUGAUCAAGAUGUUGCACCAAUGGAAAUUUGAGCAAGAGGGAAUGAGUUCAAAGUUGGAUUUUCUAACCAAUUUUCUUGUGUGUAGCUCUUUGAUAUGUUCCAACUUCCAAGUACAAUUGUGGUUUUUAUUCGGCUUUGUUUAUUUAACAGCUUGGAACAAGGAGUUAUUGAGUGCCACUAGCUUAUGUUUAGUCCUACUUAAGUCAAAUCUGUCACAUGAUAAUAAUAAUCGGCGAAUCGCCAACCUAGAGAGUGUAUCAAACAGACACCAUUUUGAAUGAGAGAAACAGCGAGAGAAAGAAUGAAAGAUUAAUCCAACUUUGUUUCUCUUUCUGCAAAUUGUUCCUCGAAGAAAUGACUUCAUAAUGCAACCAUACAUUAUUGAGCAAGGAUGAUAAAUCUCCUGCUUGCUCGGAAGAAAAGUUAAAACCAAAAUAAUAUCUCUCUUGACCUUCCAGAGAAUCAAUCCUGUCUUGAAAUGAUUUCAACACACAAAAACAACCUGAGAUUGGAAUUAGAAGUACUGAGUAGACGGAACCUUGGCGACGGGUUUACCACCUGGUAAGACAUUGUCGGGAAGAAUCAACUCCGGUGGAGUUUCACGGGUAAUCCCAAGCAUUGAAUCGUAAUCCUCGUCCUUGCGUGCAUACUUCUUCCUAAGCGCUCUCUCAACCUCGAUCUGCUCAAAUGACUUUGAAUUCUCUGAGGCGUGAAUCUGUGCGAGAUUGAUGUAAUUCUUUGCUGACUGUGAGAUGUAUACUAUCUCUUCAUCUGUUAACUUUCUCAUGAACUUUGCUGGAUUUCCUCCCCACACCUGCCACAUGAAACUGAUAACUUAUAGAUAUGUCCUUGUAAAUAUAUUCUCAGGUUGACGGUUGAAGAAAGUAGUUCAAAAGCAUAGCGAUAUAAGAAAUCCGUCUAAUUCCUCAUAAAACAUUGGAAACACAAGAACCCUCUGUUACUCCCAACUCACCCUUGUUUCAUAUACAAGUAGAAUUGCAACGGAAACAAAGGUGGUUCUCAGAUUUAGACGAUAUAUAAAUACUAUUUACUCUUCUUUUUGAUCAAAAUAUAAUACAAUUUACAGGCAUAUCAUUUCAUUAACUAAUUCUGUAUCAACUAAAUUGUAAGCAAAGCAAAAGUGGAUCUACUUGAAGAAGUUCAGCUGGUCAAGCCUUAGCUACAGGUCAGCGUAGGACUAAAUGCAGCAGACUACAGCUGCUAUUACUUGGUUAAUUAGCAGUUCGUUAUUAGGCUUGGUAGAGCUUCAGGGUCCGUGAUAAGUAAACCUAGCUAGAGUUCUAUUUUUGGUUCUUGAUACUUUGGAUUUUCUCGUUCAGUUUAGUGAGAAAUAAAGCAGUUUCCAGUUCCAGUCUUAUCACAAACUCCGUAAGCAGUAAACCAGAAAAGAUAAAGUGGAAAGAAAGAAACCUCUCCAGAAGGGAUUCGCGUGUUCUGUUUCACAAGAGAACCAGCAGCAACCAUGGCAUGUUUCUCAACCACCACACCAUCAAGUAGUGUUGCUCCCAUACCAACAAAAGCAUCAUCCUCAACAGUACACCCAUGAAUGACAGCACUGUGACCUGCUCCGUUUCAUUUUACAAACAAAACCUUUAACUAACAAUCGUGUAACACAACAUAAAAACAGAUACUUCAAAACUGAUAAAUCGCUUUUUAAGGUUUACCUACUGUUACAUUGUCCCCAAUCAGAGUAGGUAGAACCUUGCCACUUAUGUUGGUCUUUGCAACAUGUACAAGCGUAUUAUCUUGGAUAUUCGUCCCAGAUCCAACACUGAUGUUAUUCACAUCACCUGCACAAGUUAGAAACCCAGAUUAACAUACAAUAAGUUUCACAGCUACUUCAUGACACAUUUUAUCGACAGUACAAUAAAUCUAUGUCCAAUGAUCAGGACAGUAACGUAUAACAGCGAUACAAGAUUAUUAGAAGGUAAAGAGAACUUCAUUUCCUAAAACUAAACUAUGACUACUUUGCACAAUAUACUGCUGCAAAAUUUGGUACUUCUAUCGAACCAAAGGCCAUUAAGACUUUCUAGAAGUAAUAAAGCCUCACCUCGAAGAACACAGCCAUACCAAAUCGACGAGCCUUUUCCGAUCUGAACAUCACCAAUAACAGAAGCACUCGGAGCCACAAACACAUCUUUAUCCACCAAUGGUGAUUUAUCAAACACAUUCAUCAACGUCCGAUGCCUCGACACUGAAAACAAACACAAAUUUCUCGAAUCAAAUUUUUUCAAUCUAAGCCACAAAUUUCUCCAAUCAAAGGUGAAGACACAAAUUAGAGAUAACGAAUUGGAUCUAGGGUUUCAAUAGAGAGUAUUAAGUGGAAGGAUCUGGAAGCUUACGAUGUUCCUCGAUACGGUGACUUCCUUGAAGAAGAGAACCAACGCGAUCAAGAGCUUGACCAGUUCCACGAAUCCAGUUACCCACAGUGUAAAUUGCUCGUCCUAGGGUUCCCAUUUUUUUGUGAUUCUCCGAUUACCCAAAGUGUGAAAAUGAGAAGGCUUUGUUGUUUUUGGUGUCGCUCCACCAGAUAGAGAGAGGUUUAUGGAGGCGUAUUGAUGGGAGGAUUUUUUUUUUUAACUCGAGUGAGUUCGUUUAUUUUGUUGACCUCUAAAUUUUUAGAGUAUGGAGUGGUAACUGGUAAGCUAAACCAAACCGAAAUUUAUUGGUUGGACUUACAGAGAUUGUGAAUACAAAAUCCGGAUAGAUUCGUUUUGCAAUGUAAGGAGAUGGAACAAAGCUUUCAGGAGACAAACACAAAAAUGAGUAAAAUAAUUAAUAUAAUUUAGCAAAGAAAAUAAAGAGAUAAAAAUAGAGAUAUUAGCUUAUAUUGUGCAUUGGAUAUUGGAAGUAUUGCAUAAAGCAAAGAAAUAGUUUUUAGUAUAAGGAUUGGAAAAAACAUUGUUUGUAUCUAAAAUGGGGUCAAGAAUGUAGAAGAUGGAGUUUCUUGGGUGUUUUUCUUGGAGUUAUACUAGAAAGAAGUCGGGCAAGUGAUAUUUACGCGUGGGCGAUUUCUCUCUCAAAUUUUUUUCUUCUUAUAAUCACAAUCUCUUGUUCCGUCAAUAAGUUUUUUCGUUGACUCCAGCGACGAAGAAACCCAUUGGGACAUGGUGCUUCAACCGUGAUCCGCUACAUCUUCUCGGCAAUUCAAUCUAUUCAAAAUCAAGGGAGCAGUGGAGGGCAAAUGCGGCAUUAGGGGAGUGCAAGAGGAGCAAUUGCACAGGAUCCAAAAAUUAUUUGAUCAAAAUUAAAGGGUAAAAUAAAAAAAUUUAUCAAAUUUGAGGUCAAAAAGAUAAUUUUGACUAAAUCUGAGGGCCAUAAUAAAAUUUUAACUAAAUGUAAGGGCCAAACUCAAAAUAUUUAGUAUAAAAGGGCUAAAUUUGAAAAUUUGUACAGUGACAGAGAAUAUAUUGAGUUGGCCCUGGUGGAGGGGAGAAGAUUAUGCGAGACACUGUCGGUAAGAGCUAUAUCGGUGGUGUGGCUUCACGGAGAGGAAGGAUGAGACUUCACAGUGAAGAACAAGGGCUGACGGCGGUUAGGUCGGAAGUCUAAAGAUUCUGGAGGUUUCAUUGGGUCGCCGCUUGAUGGGGGAGGUCGACUCCGCUUCGGUGAGGCUUUACCACCGUCGAUGGUCUUGAGAUCUACUCACUACUGCCGUCAACUCUCUCGACUGAGCUAUGAGAUUCAUGACUAUGGCAACCCGGAUCGCCUCUUCCUCCUCAAAACUGCUCUACGGUGGCAGGAGGACAACGGAUCCUGAAUUACCAUCUCCGUUCGACGAAUCUCGUCUAGGCUCCCCAAAGGGUUUCUGUUCCGGUGAGAUUCUGCAAUUCUUGGACGGCGGCUCAGAUCGUGUUUUACGAUAUGAGAUUAGGAUUUUCAACUUUCGGUUUAGAUCGGUUUUGUAAUAGAUGGUUUAGUCUGGUUAUAUGUAAGUGGAUUGAGUCUAAGGGAAAAUGUAUGAGCCUAAAUCCGGAAAUAGUCCAUUGGACCUUAUUUAUAACAUUGAAAACCAUUUUACAAAAAAAAAGAUGGAGUCUCUUUUCUUAGGGUCUCCACCUCUCUUUAUAGUCUUUUCCUUCCUCCUAUGUAUCUUUAUUUGGCCAUUAGGUACAUAUCUAGCUCAUAAAAUAACUCUCAUAAUUAAUUCGUAAACUUGAAUGGCAAGUUUACUCCUUAAACCAUGACCAUUAAUUCAUAAAUUUAAUCACAAAUUAAUAUCAAGAUUUAACCACCUUUCUUAUGCAAGAUGUACAUUCUUUGCUCUGUAAAGUGAUGGAACUUGGAUGCGUAAGAUGGAUUUGUCGUGCGCGAUCCGGUAUCAACAUAAGCUUGAGUUCUUUGAGUAAGGUUAUUUGCUUGAAGACUAAUAUUCUUGUAAUGCUGUUGGAUAUGAAUUUGGAUUAAGUAGUUGCGAGGUGACCUGACAAAUACGCC